Sceloporus undulatus (fence lizard) is the source of this 935-nucleotide long non-coding RNA. RefSeq lists it as uncharacterized. NCBI's taxonomy places the organism in Eukaryota, Metazoa, Chordata, Lepidosauria, Squamata, Phrynosomatidae. The transcript is spliced from 3 exons. The record is from RefSeq and is a predicted model, not a curated record.
ACCCAUGUUAUGGUGGGUGUUGAUCAUGAGGGUGCCAACAAUGAAAAUGCACUGUUCUUGCCAAGUAAACAUCAAAUGUUAUAUAGUGCUGGGAGCAGGAUGCUGUUUAAUAACCUAAACACAAUGAGUGGUGUUUUCCAUGAUACUCUGGGUUGUCAUAGUCAAGCUGGGUAGGGUUUGAAUAGUUUAAAAAAAUAGCAGAAUGAAUUAUACCUGGAAAUGAAUUGGCUCCCAGCAUAAAUUUUUCUCUACAGAUAUUAUACCUCUUACAGGCAGCUACCACCAAAAGGCACAUGCUGCCAUGUUCAGGAGCAUUGAGCAUUUUCAGAGAAUCUUCAGCAACAGUCUUCCAGCUGGGCAAAAUGAAAGCAGUGCUCUGGGCUCAAUGAAGAGUGGCAAUGACUAGCUGAAUAUCAAAAAUGAAAAUCUACAACCAGAAAAACCAGCAUUUGUCCUGCGAAACAAAGGUGUAUAUGAGAGUGUGAAGUACAUCCAGCAGGAGAACUUCUGGAUUGGCCCAAGCUCGAUUGACCUGAUCCACCUAGGGGCCAAGUUCUCACCCUGCAUCCGGAAGGACCAACAGAUUGAGAAGCUGAUACAGAAAGAGAAAGACCAAGAGCGAAAGUCAGGCUGCUGUGUCCAAAAUGAUAACUCUGGGUGUGUCCAGACACUGCGAGAAGAUUGCUCAGUAAGUGCAGUAGUGAUGACUUACCUCCUUUGAAUUUUGUUGCAGUGCAGGAAAACAUAAGUUUGGAAGGUAUGUGUUUUAAUUUUGCCACUUGUGCUAUGAGGCAUGAGGAGGACUUGCCCUACCAAUACACAGAGGAAGAUGGCUACAGAUUUUGGGUGCCAAGAAAGGACAGCAAAUUUUUAAUUAUUUAACUGGUUAUUAUUAUUGCAUAGGAGGUGUUUGGAGGGAUAUGGUGAGCAUUGGA